Loxodonta africana (African savanna elephant) is the source of this 7395-nucleotide long non-coding RNA. RefSeq lists it as uncharacterized. The record is from RefSeq and is a predicted model, not a curated record. Lineage: Eukaryota; Metazoa; Chordata; Mammalia; Proboscidea; Elephantidae. The transcript has 3 exons.
AAUUGGGGUGGAGAGAGGGCAAUGGAACUACAGCCGACAAACAAGGAAUUUCUGUGUAGCCUCAGGCAUUGAUAUGCAAAUGAACAAUUCCUGAAAUUAGUUCUGGUUCAAGGUCCCACCAGAGGACAGUUCAUGCGGUUGCCUCCCCACUGUGUUUCCGGGAGAAUUACCCAUGAGAAUUAUUCAAACACACUCCUAACACUUUCUUUUCCCCUUUUAGCUACUUCUCCUCUCCUUCGGCCUGUCUGUUUUCACUGUGUCAAAUCAGCCGCAAGCUUUCCGCAUUUGGAAGACGCAAACACCGAGAGCCAUCAGAUUCAUCCGCAUGAAAAAAAUUCGCCUUUGCUUUCAAACAUGUUCUCUAUUCUCUCUCUCCUGUUCUCCAGACCUAUUCUCCCAAUCAUGUUCGUGACGUGUUUCUUAAUCCUGGGUUUCUCAAUCUCUUUUUUAACUUUAAAUAAAUGCAUUCAAUAGAAAUGUCUUUGGAGAUCAUUAUUUUGUUGUGGUAGACAAUAUAUGGCCCCUUGUUGUUGUUGUUGUUGUUUUUGUAGGAUUUUAUCUUAGAAACUUAAUAGAGAGAUAGGUUUAUCAUGCAUAUAAACUUGUUCUGUUUACUGCAAGGUAGUCAUGGCAAGUCAUGCACGUAGGCUCUCAAGACAUCAUUUAGAAGCAGAGAAUCGUAAUUAACAAUUACAAUUAAAAUGUUAGUUCAGCACAACUAGAUGGUGCCCAGCUACCAUCACGGAUUGCUCUGACAGGGAUCACAAUAGAGGGUCCCAGACAGAGCUGAAGAAAACUGUAGAACAAAAUUCUAACUCGCAAAAAGAAGACUCGACUUACUGGUCUGACAGAGACUGGAGAAACCUGGAGAGUAUGGCCCCCAGACACCCUUUUAGCUCAGUAAUGUAGUCACUCCUGAGGUUCACCCUUCAGCCUAAAUUUAGACGGGUCCCUAAAAUAAAACCAGACUACAGGAGCACACGGAAACCCUGGUAGGGUAGUGGUUAAGUGCUACCGCUGCUGAACCAAAGGGUUGGCAGUUCAAAUCCGCCAGGCGCUCCUUGGAAACUCUAUGGGGCAGUUCUACUCCGUCCUAUAGGGUCGCUAUAAGUCAGAAUAGACUGGAUGGCACUGGGUAUGGUUUUGGGUAUUUAAGCGAGCACACACACCAGCCCAGGGGCAAGGAUGAGAAAGCAGAAGGGGACAGGAAAUCUGCUAACAGGAAGGGGAGAAUGUUGACAUGUCACGGGGUUUUUCCCGAGGGCCCCUUUCUCGGUGGAGCCCAGCCGGAUUCAUGCCGCCCAAUAAGACUAUUAAGGCAGCCUGGAGUCACACAAGCAAAUUUAUUUUGCCAGCAGCUAGCAAAAGAAGCCAGCAAGGGCUAGAACCUUCAGAGAGACUGUCUCACUGAUUUGCCUACGGAGCUAAGUAUUUAAGGGUUUCAAGAAGGAGAGCAGGAGGGGUUUUGAUGUUUAUUCAUGAGAUGGAGGGGAAGGGCGGAGAUUAAUGAGGAGGGGUUGGGUUAUGCAAAUACAGGUGUGAACCCAGGAUUUCUUCAAGGCGGAAGUCCUUCAGUUCCCCUUGACAUAACACAUUAUGGGAUGUGACGCGGGUGCACUGGUUCCCUUUGUCACAUCGUCCCUUUUGGCGAGCAUGGGAAGGACAAACUGGUCGCUUUUACCUCUUUUGCACACACUCUGCAUCUGUGGAGUCCUGCAAGAACUAUAUUAACAGUUUAUUUGCAACAUUUCAGGUCGUACCACCGCUCAGCAGGAACAUUUCGCCCCACAGGGGCCUGUGUGUUCUGUUCUCCUCUCCAGAAGGUGGGUUAUGGUUGUACCAGGUUGUUUAUUCCACUCUCUAUCCUGCUUGCCCUUUUCCUCCAGCCUAUGUGCAAAGGAGGGGGCGGAGGGCAACCGGCCCUGCUCUAGCCUAGUCCUGUCUCAGGGUCGGCAACCAAUGUCACAAGGCAAUAUGUGUAUUAAUUGUUUAAUGAGAAACUGCUUUGCUCUGUAAACCUUCAUCUAAAGUACAAUAAAAAAAAUUUUUUUUAAGUCAUCACUAGGUACUAUUAGGUAAUCAUUGUUGCAGGUAAAAUUCCACCAAUGGAUAAUAAAUUCCAGGGGCUAAAGUUUGAGAAGAAAGACGAUACUUGUACAGUCCCAAGAUGUUUAUUAAUUACAGAGGAAGAAUGGUAACUUUACUUUGGAGAAACCCAGCAGACAUCACCAUAACCAAGUGAUCAAGAUUAACAUCCUCAGCAGUAAGACACAGUGACACCCUGAACCCCGAUAUCAUGGGCUGGGAAGAACACAACAACCCUUCUGUUGAUAGUACUGCCAAAAAUGCAUUACCAAAAAAAAAAACCAAACCCGGUGCUGUCGAGUCGACUCAGACUCAUAGCGACCCUAUAGGACAGAGUAUAACUGCCCCAUAGAGUUUCCAAGGAGCGCCUAGAGGAUUCGAACUGUCAACCCGUUGGUUAGCAGCGGUAGCACUUGGCCACUGCACUACCAGGGUUUCCAAAAGAGCAUUACCCCAAACUAAUUAUGAGAAAAAAAUCAAACAAACCCAAACUGGGGGACAGUCUUCAAAAUAACUGUUAUCUAUAAAUAGUUGACACCCAUGUGUCCAGUGUCAAUGUGAUGAAAGACAAAGGAACACUGGGGAACUCUCAGACUGAAGGAGACCAAGGAGAUGCGAUGACUGUAUGCCAUGUGGGACCCUGGAAUGGAUCCUGGAACAGAAGAAGGACAUUGAUGGGAAAACUGGUGCAAGUUGAAUUGUACGAAGAAAAAAAAGAAAUCAGGCACUGAAACCCCUCUGGAGCACAGGCCAACUCUGACUUAUGAGCCAGGUUAACUCCCAGACGACUGGUCUGGUGGUUGAAAGAAAAGAAGUGACUUAAGCGACUCAAAAAGAGGUUAAAAGCUUUAUCCGACUGGUACACAGGAAUAUCAUCAGGUGACUCCCCAAUUUAAGCAGGUUCGGUUUGUUUGUUUGUUUUACAACUUCACUUGUUUUUGUUUUUUUAACUGAGUCCAUAUCCUUGUGGUUUGGACUUAGGCAGCCGUCUCUGACUUAAACUGUAACUUGGGGUUGGAGGCCGUUCCUGUCUCAGGAGUCCCUCACUGGGUGGGGGUUGUUGGUGUUGUUAGACGCUGCGGAGUCCAUGCAGACUCAUGGCGACCCCGCCUGUGCAGAGCAGAACUGCUCCACAGGGUUUUCAAGGCUGUGAUCUUUCAGAAGCAGAUUGCCAGGCCUUUCUUCAGAGGCGCCUCUGGGCAGGCCGAAUUGCCUACCUUUCAGCUAGUAGUGGAGUGCUUAAACGUUUGCACCACCCAGGAAUCCUAUAACCAUCAGAAUAGUCUGCCCCGAGAACUGGUUUUGUGGUUUAUGAGCUAGACAAAGUUCACUGAGUGGGGGAGGUAGGCAGCAUAGAUUCAAAAGGUGGCGGGGGGCGAGAGGGAGAGUGGAACCCUCUCUCAUAUCCGUUUCAGUCAUUUUACAGGACAGAAAAAACCCUAUAAACCAGUGGGAGUGUAACCAACAGGGUUAACUGCUCCCCCGCCAUCCACCACACCCCGGGUCUGUUGUCAACUCGCUUCCCGUUAAGUCAACCUGUGUAGCAGCUCAAGGUCACUUCACUGCUCCCCCUCCAUUUGGACAUGAACAACAAGUCGCAAAGCAGUCCUUAGAUUAACCGCAUACAUCACACUCCGAAAAACAACCCCCCAGCCGCCAUGACACUGCACCCCCACACAAGUUAAUUAGUUCCCAGAAUUGCCCGCCUAUUCUCAGAAGCUUCAUAAAUUAUGCCUAAGUUCCUUGUCCUGAGCCCUAAAACUACCCUGGAAUCCCCAACCUCAGGGGGCUCCAUUUGAGAGUCUCCGAGCUCCUUGCUUCACCCGCUUGUAAUAAGUCUACUUUCUCUUCCUCAAAGGCCUGGUGUCUCUCAACUGACCCGGGCGGGGCGAGGGGGGAACCCGGAGGGACCCACCCUCACCGGGUAAUAGGAGGAACGCCGGCAGUUCUUCGACUCUCCGGAGCUUGCUCACAAAGUCCGCCAGGGGGCGCGCUGGAGCUGCGCAAAGCAGGAGCUGGGAAGCCUGGAAAACCCGGAAUGCCUUGCCUGUCUCCCUCAUGGAAACCCAGAGAAACAAGGACUGGCUGCUGCACUGACGACAAGAAUGUCUCCGAACUCCGUGACCUUCAGGGAUGUGGCUGUGAACUUUACCAAGGAGGAGUGGGACCUGCUGGAUCCUUGUCAGAGGAAACUCUUCUGAGAUGUGGUGCUGGAGAACUACAGGAACCUGGUCUCCAUAGGUAAGUAUGGCACUCCUUCACUGACUCACCGAUGGGACGAAUGGUAGGUUAGCACCUCCAGUGGUCCGGGAUGUGUGCUGAGAGACAUGGCCGCAAGGGGCAGACAUCGGUUUCCCCACGAGACUGAAAAAUCUAUCCAUUGCACUGCGUUCUUAUUCUCUUCAAGAUUAAAAGCCUUUGGGGAUCUGUGAGUGGGGACAGUGGUGGGUUCAGUGCUAGAAUUCUCACCUUCCACUCAGGAGACCCGGGUUCAAUUCCCAGCCAAGCACCGCAUACACAGCCACCACCCAUCUUGUCAGUGGAGGCUUGGGUGUGGCUAUGAUGCUGAACAGGUUUCAGUGGAGCUUUCAGACUAAGAGUAGGAAGAAAGGUCUGGUGAUCUACCUUCAAAAAUCAGCCAGUGAAAACCCUGUGGAUCGCAACGGUCCAAUCCACAACCAACCAGGAAGUGUUUUGUUCCGUUGUGUAUGGGUCGCCGUGAGUCGGGGGCUGACUCCACGGCAGCUAACAACAAGUAGGUGACAUGGGGCACAGAAAAGGGUAGUUCGAGCCCUUUGGACAGAGUUUAGGUGCAUCAUAAGAAAGGUGAAGGAAUUGCUGGGCUGCUUGGAUCCUCACAUAUCCUCACAUUUGCUCAGCUGCAGAACCCCUGCAAACCAAAGCAGGGGCUCCCCCUUCAUGGCAAGUCUUGUUGUUCCGGCACCGUCUCCUCACAUCCUGUGCUUUCCCAGUGAGCAGGAUCUCAACUAGGCAAACCCUCUGUGAUCUCUCAUUUGGAACAAGAAGUGGAUCUAGAGAUAUAAACAAAAAACUUUGAGUCAACCCUGACUCAUGGCAACACCGUGACUGUCAGAGUAAAACUGUACUCCAUAAGGUUUUUAAUGGCUGUGACCAUUCAGAAGUAGAUUGCCAGGACUUUCUUCCAAGGCACCUCUGGGUGGCUUCGAACCUCCAACCUUUCAGUUAGCAGCUGAACACUUAACCAUUUGCACCACCCAGGGAUUCCUUCUAGGGACGUGUUGUUGUUGUUGUUAGGUACCAUCAAGUAGGUUCCAACUCAUAGCAACCUUAUGUACAACAGAAUGCAACAUUGCUUGGUCUUGUGCCAUCCUCACAAUCGUUAUUAUGCUUGAGCCCGUUAUUGCAGCCACUGUGUCAAUCCAUCUCGUUAAGCGUCUUCCUCUUUCUCCCUGACCCUCUACUUUACCAAGCAUGAUGUCAUUCUCCAGGGACUGGUCCCUCCUGAUAACAUGUCCAAAGUAUGUGAGAUGAAGACUCAGCACCCUUACUUCUAAGGAGCAUUCUGGCUAUACUUCUUCCAAGACAGAUUUGUUCGUUCUUCUGGCAGUCCAUACUACAUUCGGUAUUCUUCACCAACACCAUAAUUCCAAGGCAUUGAUUCUGUUUGUCUUCCAUAUUCAUUGUCCAGCUUUCAGAUGCAUAUGAAGCGAUUGAAAAUACCACAGCUUGGAUCAGGCACAUGUCAGUUCUUAAAGUGAUAUUUUUGCUUUUUAACACUUUACAGAGGUCUAUUGCAGCAAAUUUGCCCAAUGCAGUGUGUCGUUGAUUUCUUGACUGCUGCUUCCAUGGGCCUUCAUUGCAGAUCCAAGUAAAAUGAAAUCCUUUACAACUUAAAUAUUUCUCCGUUUACUGAUAUAUUGCUUAUUGGUCCAGUUGUGAGGAUUUUUGUUUUCUUUAUGUGGAAAUGUAAUCCAUACUGAAGGCCGUGGCUUUUGGUCUUCAUGGGUAAAUGCCUUAAGUCCUCUUCACUCUCAACAAGCAAGGUUGUGUGUCAUCUGCAUAUUGCAGGUUGUUAAUGAGUCUUCCUCCAAUCCUGACGUCAUGUUUUUCUUCACAUAGUCCAGCUUUUCAGAUUAUUAGCUCAGCAUAGAAAUUGAAUAAGUAUGGUGAAAGGAUACAACCCUGACUCUAAACCACGCAGUAUCCUCUUGUCUGUUCGAAAGACUGCCUCUUGGUCCAUGCACAGGUUCCUCAGGAGCACAAUUGAGUGCUCUGAAAUUCCCAUUCUUCGCAGAGUUACCCAUAAUUUGUUAUGAUUCACACAGUCAAAUGCCUUUGCAUAGUCAAUAAAACACAGGUAAACAUCUUUCUGGUGUUCUCUGCUUUCAGCCAGGAUCCACCUGACAUAAGCAGUGAUAUCCGUGGUUCCGUAUCCUCUUCUGAAUCCAGCUUGAAUUUCUGGCAGUUCCCUGUUGAUGUACUGCUGCAACCACUUUUGAAUGAUCUUCAGCAAAAUUUUAUUUGAGUGUGAUAUUAAUGAUAUUGUUGGAUAAUUUCUGCAUUUUGUUGGGUCCCCUUUUGUCUUAGUUAUCUCGUACUGCUAUAACGGAAAUACCACAAAUGGAUGGCUUUAACAAAGAGAAAUUUAUUCUCUCAUAGUCUAGUAAGUUACAAGUCUGAAUUCAGGGUGUCAGCUCCAGGCGUAGGCUUUCUCUCUUUGUUGGCUCUGGAGGAAGGUCCUUGUCCUCAAUCUUCCCAUAGUCGAGGAGCUUCUCAGGCACAGGCACCCGUGUCCAAAGGACGCGCUCUCCUCCUGGUGCUGCUUUCUUGGUGGUAUGAGGUCCCCCACUCUCUGCUUGCUUCCCUUUCCUUUUAUCUCUUGAGAGAUAAAAGGUGGUGCAGACCACACCCCAGGGAAACUCCCUUUAAGUUGGGUCAGGGAGGUGACCUGAGUAAGGGUGGUAUUACAAUCCCACCCUAAUCCUCUUAACAUAAAAUUACAAUCACAAAAUGGAGAACAACCACACAAUACUGGGAAUCAUGGCCCAACCAAGUUACUAAAUACACAUAUUUUACCACCCCCACUGCUGCAUAUUUUAGGGGGGACAUAUUUCAAUCCAUGACACCUUUCUUUGGAAUGGGUGCAAAUAUGGAUCUCUUCCAGUUGGUUGGCCAGGUAGCUGUCUUCCAAAUUUCUUGGCAUAGACGAGUGAGCACUUCCAGCGCUGCGUCCAUUUGUUGAAACAUCUCAAUUGGUAUUCUGUCAAUAACUGGACCCUUGUUUUUCAGCAGUCCCUUCAGUGCAGCUUGGACCUCUUCCUUCAGUAC